GCCCACAACGAGGGCGCAACAGAGCGACCGGAGAAGCUGAGUAUAGACCCGAGCCUCCCCGCGGGGAAGGGAAGGAACACGUGCAACCCAGGGACAAACGCAACCUUCGUCACGACUUGGACAUCAGAACAGGUUGCAACAGGUCCAUGUAUGGAUCCAGAAGGUACUCUCUCACUCGAUGGGAUGGAGACCAACCUCGGUUUACCCACAACAACAUAGAUCGGGAAUCAUACCGGGCACAACCAACAGCCGAUCUCCGGCACCGUAUAGCCCGGGUCAUAGGCCCUGCCCACCCAGUGUACUUUACACAUGAGGUCAUGCAACACCAAUUCCUGAAAGGGUUUAAACCGAUGAACAUAGAACAAUACAACGGGACAAUGGACCCCGCCGUGUGGAUGGA
This 400-nucleotide long non-coding RNA is filed under the name Hordeum vulgare. Its description in RNAcentral is "long non-coding RNA (HVUL_LNC011994)". Lineage: Eukaryota; Viridiplantae; Streptophyta; Magnoliopsida; Poales; Poaceae. The record is from RNAcentral.